This 465-nucleotide ribosomal RNA is filed under the name uncultured bacterium. Its description in RNAcentral is "partial 16S ribosomal RNA". It matches the Rfam family "Bacterial small subunit ribosomal RNA", at positions 28 to 507 of the family's 1533-position model. The record is from RNAcentral.
GACGAACGCUGGCGGCGUGCUUAACACAUGCAAGUCGAACGGAAAGGCCCUGCUUGCCGGGUACUCGAGUGGCGAACGGGUGAGUAACACGUGGGUGAUCUGCCCUGCACUUCGGGAUAAGCCUGGGAAACUGGGUCUAAUACCGGAUAGGAGCCAUUUUUAGUGUGAUGGUUGGAAAGUUUUUUCGGUGAAGGAUGAGCUCGCGGCCUAUCAGCUUGUUGGUGGGGUAAUGGCCUACCAAGGCGGCGACGGGUAGCCGGCCUGAGAGGGUGGACGGCCACAUUGGGACUGAGAUACGCCCCAGACUCCUACGGGAGGCAGCAGUGGGGAAUAUUGCACAAUGGGCGCAAGCCUGGUGCAGCGACGCCGCGUGGGGGAUGACGGCCUUCGGGUUGUAAACUCCUUUCGCUAGGGACGAAGCUUUUUGUGACGGUACCUAGAUAAGAAGCGCCGGCUAACUACGUG